CCUACGGGGGGCUGCAGUCGAGAAUCUUGGGCAAUGCGCGAAAGCGUGACCCAGCAAUGCCGCGUGUAUGAUGAAGGCCCUCGGGUCGUAAAGUACUGUCUCCCGUGACGAAAAAUGACGGUAGCGGGGAAGGAAGCCACGGCUAACUACGUGCCAGCAGCCGCGGUAAUACGUAGGUGGCGAGCGUUGUUCGGAUUUAUUGGGCGUAAAGGGUCUGUAGGAGGUUUGUUAAAUACGGGGUGAAAUCCCGAAGCUCAACUUCGGAAUUGCCUUGUAGACUGACGGACUGGAGUACCGGAGAGGUAAGCGGAAUACCAGGUGUAGCGGUGGAAUGCGUAGAUAUCUGGUAGAACACCAAGAGCGAAGGCAGCUUGCUGGACGGAAACUGACUCUGAAAGACGAAAGCAUGGGGAGCAAACAGGCUUAGAUACCCGGGUAGUC
RNAcentral lists this ribosomal RNA (441 nucleotides) under uncultured Victivallis sp. RNAcentral's name for it is "bacterial SSU rRNA". It matches the Rfam family "Bacterial small subunit ribosomal RNA", at positions 338 to 795 of the family's 1533-position model. The record is from RNAcentral. Lineage: Bacteria; Pseudomonadati; Lentisphaerota; Lentisphaeria; Victivallales; Victivallaceae.